Molecule: ribosomal RNA, 434 nt
Filed under: uncultured Lachnospiraceae bacterium
Lineage: Bacteria; Bacillati; Bacillota; Clostridia; Lachnospirales; Lachnospiraceae
Description: partial 16S ribosomal RNA
Rfam family: Bacterial small subunit ribosomal RNA
Source: RNAcentral
ACGGAAGGCAGCAGUGGGGAAUAUUGGACAAUGGGGGAAACCCUGAUCCAGCGACGCCGCGUGAGUGAAGAAGUAUUUCGGUAUGUAAAGCUCUAUCAGCAAGGAAGAAAAUGACGGUACUUGACUAAGAAGCUCCGGCUAAAUACGUGCCAGCAGCCGCGGUAAUCCGUAUGGAGCAAGCGUUAUCCGGAUUUACUGGGUGUAAAGGGAGCGUAGACGGCAAAGCAAGUCUGAAGUGAAAUCCCGGGGCUCAACCCCGGAACUGCUUUGGAAACUGUUUAGCUAGAGUGCAGGAGAGGUAAGCGGAAUUCCUAGUGUAGCGGUGAAAUGCGUAGAUAUUAGGAGGAACACCAGUGGCGAAGGCGGCUUACUGGACUGUAACUGACGUUGAGGCUCGAAAGCGUGGGGAGCAAACAGGAUUAGAUACCCUGGUA